Molecule: ribosomal RNA, 458 nt
Filed under: uncultured bacterium
Lineage: Bacteria
Description: partial 16S ribosomal RNA
Rfam family: Bacterial small subunit ribosomal RNA
Source: RNAcentral
CCUACGGGCGGCAGCAGUGAGGAAUAUUGGUCAAUGGGCGAGAGCCUGAACCAGCCAAGUCGCGUGAGGGAGUACUGCCCUAUGGGUUGUAAACCUCUUUUGUCGGGGAGCAAAAGCCGGACGUGUCCGGCUGUGAGAGUACCCGAAGAAAAAGCAUCGGCUAACUCCGUGCCAGCAGCCGCGGUAAUACGGAGGAUGCGAGCGUUAUCCGGAUUUAUUGGGUUUAAAGGGUGCGCAGGCGGAUUUUUAAGUCAGCGGUAAAAUCGGGGGGCUCAACCCCAUCCAGCCGUUGAAACUGGGGAUCUAGAGUGUGCGAGAGGUAUGCGGAAUGCGUGGUGUAGCGGUGAAAUGCAUAGAUAGCACGCAGAACCCCGAUUGCGAAGGCAGCAUACCGGUGCACAACUGACGCUCAGGCACGAAAGCGUGGGUAUCGAACAGGAUUAGAUACCCUAGUAGUC